Non-coding RNA from Chryseobacterium formosense, 67 nucleotides. NCBI's taxonomy places the organism in Bacteria, Pseudomonadati, Bacteroidota, Flavobacteriia, Flavobacteriales, Weeksellaceae. The record is from Rfam.
UUAUUAUGGAGACCAGAAACCAUCUCAAACGGGGCGUUUACCGAAAAGCCAUAUGAGUAGGAAAUUU